This 302-nucleotide ribosomal RNA is filed under the name Prevotella melaninogenica. RNAcentral's name for it is "partial 16S ribosomal RNA". It matches the Rfam family "Bacterial small subunit ribosomal RNA", at positions 1 to 291 of the family's 1533-position model. Lineage: Bacteria; Pseudomonadati; Bacteroidota; Bacteroidia; Bacteroidales; Prevotellaceae. The record is from RNAcentral.
ACAAUGGAGAGUUUGAUCCUGGCUCAGGAUGAACGCUAGCUACAGGCUUAACACAUGCAAGUCGAGGGGAAACGGCAUUGAGUGCUUGCACUCUUUGGACGUCGACCGGCGCACGGGUGAGUAACGCGUAUCCAACCUUCCCAUUACUGUGGGAUAACCUGCCGAAAGGCAGACUAAUACCGCAUAGUCUUCGAUGACGGCAUCAGAUUUGAAGUAAAGAUUUAUCGGUAAUGGAUGGGGAUGCGUCUGAUUAGCUUGUUGGCGGGGUAACGGCCUGUCUCUUAUACACAUCUGACGCUGCC